GUCCACGCAGUAAACGAUGAAUACUAACUGUAUGCGAUAUACUGUAUGCGGUACAGCGAAAGCGUUAAGUAUUCCACCUGGGGAGUACGUUCGCAAGAAUGAAACUCAAAAGGAAUUGACGGGGGCCCGCACAAGCGGAGGAACAUGUGGUUUAAUUCGAUGAUACGCGAGGAACCUUACCCGGGCUUGAAAUGCAGACGACCGAAGUGGAAACACUUCUUCCAGCAAUGGCGUCUGUGUAGGUGCUGCAUGGUUGUCGU
Molecule: ribosomal RNA, 260 nt
Filed under: uncultured bacterium
Lineage: Bacteria
Description: partial 16S ribosomal RNA
Rfam family: Bacterial small subunit ribosomal RNA
Source: RNAcentral